GACGAACGCUGGCGGCGUGCCUAAUACAUGCAAGUAGAACGCUGAAGAGAGGAGCUUGCUCUUCUUGGACGAGUUGCGAACGGGUGAGUAACGCGUAGGUAACCUGCCUGGUAGCGGGGGAUAACUAUUGGAAACGAUAGCUAAUACCGCAUAAUAGUAGAUGUUGCAUGACAUUUGCUUAAAAGGUGCAAUUGCAUCACUACCAGAUGGACCUGCGUUGUAUUAGCUAGUUGGUGAGGUAACGGCUCACCAAGGCAACGAUACAUAGCCGACCUGAGAGGGUGAUCGGCCACACUGGGACUGAGACACGGCCCAGACUCCUACGGGAGGCAGCAGUAGGGAAUCUUCGGCAAUGGACGGAAGUCUGACCGAGCAACGCCGCGUGAGUGAAGAAGGUUUUCGGAUCGUAAAGCUCUGUUGUAAGAGAAGAACGAGUGUGAGAGUGGAAAGUUCAC
RNAcentral lists this ribosomal RNA (455 nucleotides) under Streptococcus sp. oral taxon 064. RNAcentral describes it as "bacterial SSU rRNA". It matches the Rfam family "Bacterial small subunit ribosomal RNA", at positions 28 to 467 of the family's 1533-position model. Lineage: Bacteria; Bacillati; Bacillota; Bacilli; Lactobacillales; Streptococcaceae. The record is from RNAcentral.